CGCGGCUGAAGAUUCAGGACGACGACGACGGCGGCGGCGGCGGCGGCGGCGGUGUUUGGCGUGUCGAAAACCGAGGCGGCGGCAGCGGGAAACCUAUAUACUCGACGAGCUGUUGUAUUAUUCAGACGCAAAGAUUACAACUUGAGAUUACAACACAAGUAUGGAGAGGAGACAAAUCAUCAAAACAUUACAAGGACACAAUUGUUUUGUUUUAACAAUAAAGUACAUAAAAAAAACAAACAAACAGGUUGAAGUUCUUCCAUUUAAUUUGUCUACAGCAGACAUACAGGUAUAUAAAAAUGAAAAUAAAAAAUAUCACAUAUUUUUCAUUUUUACAUAACAAUAAUAUUUUAACUAAUAUAAUAAUAAUAACUUAUAUCUAAUGAAAAAAAUAUUUACAUUUGAGUAUUUUUUUUUUUAAAAAAUAGAUAAUUUUGUUUGAUCAACACUUGACUAGAAAAUAUGACUUUAAAUGAGUUUAAUAUUGAUUAUGAGUUAACCAAUUAAGACAAGAAGUAACAGUUAAAACAUAAAACAAAAUGAUAGAAACAAUAAUAUUAACAAAUAAAAUAAUAUAUUAUUUAAAGGCAAUAAUAUUAGCAGCCUAGAUUUUGUACUGAACAUUGUCAAUAUGCUCGGCACAGCCUUUUUGAUGAUUGGUAAGAUACAAGAUCUCAACAUUUAAUAAAAUAAAAUCUGUACAAAUAUAAUAGUACAAUUAAAAAAUAAUAAUAAAAUGGAAAUGAUUAAUAUUUAUAAAAUAUAAUGGACAGUAUGGAGAAUGAAAAUAAUAAAAUCAAUAAAAAAUAGGAAUGUGCUAGAUUGGUAACAAUACAUAAAAAUGUACAUACAAAGAACCUAAGACAAAAGA
Myzus persicae (green peach aphid) is the source of this 871-nucleotide long non-coding RNA. RefSeq lists it as uncharacterized. NCBI's taxonomy places the organism in Eukaryota, Metazoa, Arthropoda, Insecta, Hemiptera, Aphididae. The record is from RefSeq and is a predicted model, not a curated record. The transcript is spliced from 2 exons.